UGUGUGUGUUCUGACUGCUCCUCCUCAGUAAGUUCUGAGGUGGAGAUUUGAAGGCAGGCGUCCUACCAGAACAGUGCACAGUUCUGUGGGGUUCUGGCAUUGCUAUGAAGUUACCUCAUUAUUAAAACCUGCAGCGAACUCUUUUGAUUUCAGCCUUUUAAACUGUAUCCUAUUGAAGCGUGUUGCACAUUCCCCAGGAUGUAGGGCAGCAGAGAAGCCUGCCUUUCUGUGCAGCUGCUGUUUGUAGCACUGCUAUGCUGAUGACCUUUCUGUUUCCAGAACAACUAUUGAAUGGUCAGAAUCUCAUGACAGAGGCUAUGGAAAUCUUCAGUCUGUUAAAAUGGAGCACUAUGCAUUUAAUGAUUUGUCUCUCAAAAUUGCCUUUCCGUAUUCUGCCACCAAGGCAACUGUGAGCAUAUUGUUGUCAUCACGGAGAUAAGGUAAGUUACUGCUGUUUGGGUCUUGCCAGGUGGUUAACAGCAAGCCUGCAGUAGACAAACUUCAGACAUUAAAUGCUAAGUAUCUCUUAGACUAACAUGAAGAUUAUUCUGUUGCCAUCUGCAGGGUUUAUUUAAGACUUCAGUCAGUCAGUACGUAUGUAACUACCUUGGCUAAGAGGAAAGUACUUCUCCCUUGCAUUUUCUUUUUUUUCCCAAUAAUUUGUUCUGUGUAAGUAGCCUUGUUUCCAACUGGCAUGACAUGACUGUAGUAUGGGAGGAAUUGCACGCAUGGUGAAAAGUCUUUUGUGUGCAGAGCCAGUGUGUGGCAAAUCUACAUAUGAAUUUUGGAUGGUUUGGGAAUGUGGAUAGUGGCUCUGGGUAGAGUCAACUAGACUUGUUAGUUUAGGCUUUGUGCCAAGCAGCAGGAAUUGCAAAAAGAUUGGAGGAAUGGAAAUAAUAGGCUGAGGUGAAUGGACAAGGAGGAGAGGGGAGAAGGUGAUGGUGCCUGUGAGGUGGCAAUUACCUCAGCAAUAGAGCUGUUACGUAUAUUCUGCUUAAUGUAUGAUGUGUAGAGAGUGCUCCUCUGAAUGCCUGUAAAUCAAUUGCUGUUCCUAUAAGCCUGAUGUAGCUAGGUACUGUUAAUAAGUAGUAUCUCCAAAGAUUUGUACAACCCGAAGAAGAGUCUCAAGGUUAUGAACGUCUGAAUGUUUCCCUGUUGAUGCUUGUGCCCAUUGCUCUAUGUGGGAGGCAUAAGCUUUGAAGCUUCAGUACUCUGAAUUACCUCUUUGAGUGUCUAAGAGAGAUGGUCAGAGAACCUGCGUUAGUAACACAAACUAAAGUUACUCCUGACCAUAAGAGCCACAAGUGUUACAACUAGCAGUCAGAUCUCCAAGUCUUCAUCUGCUUUAAGAAAUGCUAAGAGGUGAAGUCGUAGUUUGCACUGGAGUUGAAAUGAUGCCCUGUACUCUGUGUAUGUCAUGUUCAGAUCAGCGUCAGUGUGGCUGAACCUUUAUUUUUUAUUUGUUUAUUUUCCUUAAGGCUUAUUCGUUAUGAUUGCCUGGACAGGAACCUUCAUCUUGUUGAUCAAGAAACACUGAUUAUGUGCCAGAAAAUGCUUUGUAUGCAAAAUGUGUGCAGCCAGAAUUCAUCGGGAGGUGAUUCAGGAUGAUCAAAGAACUGCAGUAGUGAAGAGGGUAAUUCAUUGGCUCAGAUUCUCUUGCAUGAAUAGAGCUAGAUUCUUGAUGAGUUCCUUAACUUUUGUGAGUAAGUAACAAAAACUUUUUUUUAAUCUGGCUGUUGAUAAAAUGUAACACAUUCCCUCCCUUAUGACAAGACACGUGAUUUAAAUUCAUUUGCUG
This 1798-nucleotide long non-coding RNA is filed under the name Gallus gallus (chicken). RNAcentral describes it as "long non-coding RNA NONGGAT011807". The record is from RNAcentral. Lineage: Eukaryota; Metazoa; Chordata; Aves; Galliformes; Phasianidae.